This 1526-nucleotide ribosomal RNA is filed under the name Salmonella enterica subsp. enterica serovar Bareilly. RNAcentral's name for it is "partial 23S ribosomal RNA". It matches the Rfam family "Bacterial large subunit ribosomal RNA", at positions 1292 to 2803 of the family's 2925-position model. Lineage: Bacteria; Pseudomonadati; Pseudomonadota; Gammaproteobacteria; Enterobacterales; Enterobacteriaceae. The record is from RNAcentral. RNAcentral also lists the same sequence under 1 other name.
GAAUGCUGACAUAAGUAACGAUAAAGCGGGUGAAAAGCCCGCUCGCCGGAAGACCAAGGGUUCCUGUCCAACGUUAAUCGGGGCAGGGUGAGUCGACCCCUAAGGCGAGGCCGAAAGGCGUAGUCGAUGGGAAACGGGUUAAUAUUCCCGUACUUGGUGUUACUGCGAAGGGGGGACGGAGAAGGCUAUGUUGGCCGGGCGACGGUUGUCCCGGUUUAAGCGUGUAGGCUGGUUUUCCAGGCAAAUCCGGAAAAUCAAGGCUGAGGCGUGACGACGAGGCACUACGGUGCUGAAGCAACAAAUGCCCUGCUUCCAGGAAAAGCCUCUAAGCAUCAGGUAACAUCAAAUCGUACCCCAAACCGACACAGGUGGUCAGGUAGAGAAUACCAAGGCGCUUGAGAGAACUCGGGUGAAGGAACUAGGCAAAAUGGUGCCGUAACUUCGGGAGAAGGCACGCUGACACGUAGGUGAAGUGAUUUACUCAUGGAGCUGAAGUCAGUCGAAGAUACCAGCUGGCUGCAACUGUUUAUUAAAAACACAGCACUGUGCAAACACGAAAGUGGACGUAUACGGUGUGACGCCUGCCCGGUGCCGGAAGGUUAAUUGAUGGGGUCAGCGCAAGCGAAGCUCCUGAUCGAAGCCCCGGUAAACGGCGGCCGUAACUAUAACGGUCCUAAGGUAGCGAAAUUCCUUGUCGGGUAAGUUCCGACCUGCACGAAUGGCGUAAUGAUGGCCAGGCUGUCUCCACCCGAGACUCAGUGAAAUUGAACUCGCUGUGAAGAUGCAGUGUACCCGCGGCAAGACGGAAAGACCCCGUGAACCUUUACUAUAGCUUGACACUGAACAUUGAGCCUUGAUGUGUAGGAUAGGUGGGAGGCUUUGAAGUGUGGACGCCAGUCUGCAUGGAGCCGACCUUGAAAUACCACCCUUUAAUGUUUGAUGUUCUAACGUGGACCCGUUACCCGGGUUGCGGACAGUGUCUGGUGGGUAGUUUGACUGGGGCGGUCUCCUCCUAAAGAGUAACGGAGGAGCACGAAGGUUGGCUAAUCCUGGUCGGACAUCAGGAGGUUAGUGCAAUGGCAUAAGCCAGCUUGACUGCGAGCGUGACGGCGCGAGCAGGUGCGAAAGCAGGUCAUAGUGAUCCGGUGGUUCUGAAUGGAAGGGCCAUCGCUCAACGGAUAAAAGGUACUCCGGGGAUAACAGGCUGAUACCGCCCAAGAGUUCAUAUCGACGGCGGUGUUUGGCACCUCGAUGUCGGCUCAUCACAUCCUGGGGCUGAAGUAGGUCCCAAGGGUAUGGCUGUUCGCCAUUUAAAGUGGUACGCGAGCUGGGUUUAGAACGUCGUGAGACAGUUCGGUCCCUAUCUGCCGUGGGCGCUGGAGAACUGAGGGGGGCUGCUCCUAGUACGAGAGGACCGGAGUGGACGCAUCACUGGUGUUCGGGUUGUCAUGCCAAUGGCACUGCCCGGUAGCUAAAUGCGGAAGAGAUAAGUGCUGAAAGCAUCUAAGCACGAAACUUGCCCCGAG